This 526-nucleotide ribosomal RNA is filed under the name Salmonella sp. Sal1227. RNAcentral describes it as "bacterial SSU rRNA". It matches the Rfam family "Bacterial small subunit ribosomal RNA", at positions 11 to 525 of the family's 1533-position model. The record is from RNAcentral. Lineage: Bacteria; Pseudomonadati; Pseudomonadota; Gammaproteobacteria; Enterobacterales; Enterobacteriaceae.
CAUUGAAUCUGGGCUUAGAUUGACGCUGGCGGCAGGCCUAACACAUGCAAGUCGAACGGUAACAGGAAGCAGCUUGCUGCUUCGCUGACGAGUGGCGGACGGGUGAGUAAUGUCUGGGAAACUGCCUGAUGGAGGGGGAUAACUACUGGAAACGGUGGCUAAUACCGCAUAACGUCGCAAGACCAAAGAGGGGGACCUUCGGGCCUCUUGCCAUCAGAUGUGCCCAGAUGGGAUUAGCUUGUUGGUGAGGUAACGGCUCACCAAGGCGACGAUCCCUAGCUGGUCUGAGAGGAUGACCAGCCACACUGGAACUGAGACACGGUCCAGACUCCUACGGGAGGCAGCAGUGGGGAAUAUUGCACAAUGGGCGCAAGCCUGAUGCAGCCAUGCCGCGUGUAUGAAGAAGGCCUUCGGGUUGUAAAGUACUUUCAGCGGGGAGGAAGGUGUUGUGGUUAAUAACCGCAGCAAUUGACGUUACCCGCAGAAGAAGCACCGGCUAACUCCGUGCCAGCCGCCGCGGUAAUUA